GCCUGGAUAGCUCAGUUGGUUAGAGUGUACUGCUGAUAAUGCCAAGGUUGAAGGUUCAAUCCCUGCAGGGGGUUGGACU
Molecule: non-coding RNA, 79 nt
Organism: Podarcis lilfordi (Lilford's wall lizard)
Lineage: Eukaryota; Metazoa; Chordata; Lepidosauria; Squamata; Lacertidae
Source: the annotation of a GenBank genome assembly